Molecule: long non-coding RNA, 2443 nt
Organism: Ctenopharyngodon idella (grass carp)
Lineage: Eukaryota; Metazoa; Chordata; Actinopteri; Cypriniformes; Xenocyprididae
Exons: 6
Source: RefSeq, a predicted model, not a curated record
CCAGUGCCUGGAAACUCACCUGUGCCUUUCUUUUAGUUUUGUUUUUACUGAAAUAGAAACUCUCACUAAACAUACUGUGAUUUAGAUGCCCAGAACACUCCUGCAAAAUAUUUACCAUGUUCAGACGCUUGAAUCUCCUGCUGCUGCUGCUGUUGUACCUUUUCAAUUACAGCGGAACCACCACUAGAUCUGUGAAAGGAAAAAAGGGAGGCAACGUCACCCUGUCAUGUGACUUUAAGGCCAAAGACAUUUAUUAUAUUCAUUUAAGCAGGAUAAAAAGCAUCCUUUCUUGUCAGAAUGAAGAAUGUGAGAGUGAAAGUGAGAGUCAAAAUGGCAGAUUAUUUAAAGAAGGAUCAUGUGACGUCAUCAUCAAGGAUCUGAGACUGAGUGAUGCUGGGAAAUACAUUCUGAGAGUUUAUUACACUAACAAUCAGACAGAGCUGAAGCGACAAAUCAGGACGUAUCGACUUCAUUUUCAGGAUUUUAUUUCUGUGAAGAAAGGAGAGGAGCUGAAGAUGGAUGUUCUGUUGAUGAAUGCUUAUAAAGUAGUGCACUGGACCAAAAGAAGCACAGGGCGGAAAGAGGAUUGGAAUAGAGGUCACGGGGUCAGGAGUGAUCGACUGACCGUCAGAGAUGGAAACCUGAUCAUUAAUAAUUUUACAGCCACUGACGCUGGAACAUAUGAGGUUCUGGACACUCAAGGAGAAAUCUUGAUCAUGGUCACAGUCACAGAAUCAAAGGACAAAAUGCACUACAUAAAUUAUGACACACAACAACAUACUUCCCCAAUUCCAUUUGAAGCAUAUUGGAUUGUCCCAGUUGAACUGUCAAUGUUUUUGGUGUUUCUGGUUGCUUUAAAAAGAAAAAGGAUGCACAGAUGUCCAGGGGCACAACUGCACAUUUGCUGAGGGGUAUGCAAGAUCAGUGUUGGCACCCCCCAGUGUUGUGGCCCCCGCCACAAAAAAUAAAAUGAUAUAUUAAUAAUAAUAAUAAAUAAAUAAGUAAAUUGGUAUUGUUUUCAUUGUUUUGACCCAUGUAGCAUUGUAUUCUAAUAAAUAAGCCACCAAAGUUUUAAUUUCAGCAUUCUCGAUUCCAAACAGGGCCUAGGUUGUACUAAUAGGUGCACUUUGCCUUCUCAGGCAACAACGUUAUAUGUUGCAUAACAUUUAUUGAAACAAGGAUCAAAGCCACUUUUUUCUUGGUUCUAUUAGAAGUUGAAGUGUCUACUCUAUAUGUGUCAAAAAAUACAUGACCAGUCCGUUAAACUGUUGCACAUUUAUUUUCACAAACACAAAAAUGCAAAAACAUGAAAAAAUACUUAAUUCAUUCAGCUAAUACUUCCAAACAGUGCUCAAGUAUGGAUCCAAUUCCUUUGAAAACGUACAUGUGUUAAAUCUGUACAAUAUAUUCCUUAGAUUCUGAUUUAGACAGUUUUCUCAUUUUUGACAGCCAGACGGUAAAAUAACUGUUUUUCCUUCUCCUCCUGCCUCUCCUGAAUCCCUUUAGCUAAAUCAGUCUAUAAAGCUAUACUUGUCUGAACAUAUGAGGAGGAGUGGCUUUAAAGCAAACAAGUAAAAUAUACAAAGAAAACCUUAAGUAAACUUUGUAAUUUUUUGAUUUUUUAAAUAAUACGGCACUUACAGCAAACAGAAAUAGGUUGAGAAUAAUAAUAAUAGUACAAAUUGAAAGCAUAUUGAAUUGGCUCUUACAACAUUGUUGCCUCCCCCACUGUGACUUGAUAUAAUAAAAUAAAGUUUUGAGCUAAUUUUAAAAACUUAAACAAAAGAUAAAUUAACAUGUCAGGUAGAGUUAUUCAAGUUGUUUCUCUGCUGAGUUCAAUUAAAUGUUCAAAGAAUGAUUUUGGCACAAUGACACAGAAGGGGGCGCCAAUGUGUCACUGCAUAAACUGCAUUCUCAAAUUUUUACGCCCCUGAUUAAAAACAAUAUAUAAUUGAGAAAAAAACACUAUACAUUUUUUUAAAGGAACUAGCUGCUUAAUGAAUGUCAUAACCACUUUUGAUACAGCAAUAUUUUUUUGUUUUUUAUAUAAUGUAUUUUGAAAUGGACUAUUGGUAAUAUCGUAUUUUUGUUAUUUUUUUUGUGUGUUAUUUGACUUAAAAAAAUCUAGAAGCAGAACAAUGUUUGGUGGACUUUACAGUCUUAUUGUUCAUUAUAUACCAAAUUAAUUUCUUAUGCAUUUAGGAUAGAACAAUCUAUCCUAAGUCAUUAUCAUUACCUCGCUGUGACUGUGAAGCUUCUGAUCAUCAGUUAUGUGUGAAUGUGAGCAGUUGAGUCUAGUGAGGUCAGAAGUUGUGGUUUUUGCACUGUUUGUGACUGCAUUGUGUAAGGGGAAAUUAAUUUAAUAUUUUCUAUACAGUUGUUCUAUUCUAUUGUCUGUAUAUUUAAAUGUGUAACUUAAUAAAUAACUUAUCCUGCUUUAAAA